RNAcentral lists this ribosomal RNA (425 nucleotides) under uncultured bacterium. RNAcentral's name for it is "bacterial SSU rRNA". It matches the Rfam family "Bacterial small subunit ribosomal RNA", at positions 354 to 796 of the family's 1533-position model. The record is from RNAcentral.
GUGGGGAAUAUUGGACAAUGGGGGCAACCCUGAUCCAGCAAUGCCGCGUGUGUGAAGAAGGUCUUCGGAUCGUAAAGCACUUUCGACGGGGACGAUGAUGACGGUACCCGUAGAAGAAGCCCCGGCUAACUUCGUGCCAGCAGCCGCGGUAAUACGAAGGGGGCUAGCGUUGCUCGGAAUUACUGGGCGUAAAGGGCGCGUAGGCGGCUCUGUUAGUCAGGCGUGAAAUUCCUGGGCUUAACCUGGGGACUGCGCUUGAUACUGCGGAGCUUGAGGCCGAGAGAGGGUGGUGGAAUUCCCAGUGUAGAGGUGAAAUUCGUAGAUAUUGGGAAGAACACCGGUGGCGAAGGCGACCACCUGGCUCGGUACUGACGCUGAGGCGCGACAGCGUGGGGAGCAAACAGGAUUAGAUACCCGGGUAGUCC